UGCAGUCGAACGAUGAAGCCCUUCGGGGUGGAUUAGUGGCGAACGGGUGAGUAACACGUGGGCAAUCUGCCCUUCACUCUGGGACAAGCCCUGGAAACGGGGUCUAAUACCGGAUAACACCUGCCCGGGCAUCCGGGUGGGUUAAAAGCUCCGGCGGUGAAGGAUGAGCCCGCGGCCUAUCAGCUUGUUGGUGAGGUAGUGGCUCACCAAGGCGACGACGGGUAGCCGGCCUGAGAGGGCGACCGGCCACACUGGGACUGAGACACGGCCCAGACUCCUACGGGAGGCAGCAGUGGGGAAUAUUGCACAAUGGGCGAAAGCCUGAUGCAGCGACGCCGCGUGAGGGAUGACGGCCUUCGGGUUGUAAACCUCUUUCAGCAGGGAAGAAGCGAAAGUGACGGUACCUGCAGAAGAAGCGCCGGCUAACUACGUGCCAGCAGCCGCGGUAAUACGUAGGGCGCAAGCGUUGUCCGGAAUUAUUGGGCGUAAAGAGCUCGUAGGCGGCUUGUCACGUCGGGUGUGAAAGCCCGGGGCUUAACCCCGGGUCUGCAUUCGAUACGGGCUAGCUAGAGUGUGGUAGGGGAGAUCGGAAUUCCUGGUGUAGCGGUGAAAUGCGCAGAUAUCAGGAGGAACACCGGUGGCGAAGGCGGAUCUCUGGGCCAUUACUGACGCUGAGGAGCGAAAGCGUGGGGAGCGAACAGGAUUAGAUACCCUGGUAGUCCACGCCGUAAACGGUGGGAACUAGGUGUUGGCGACAUUCCACGUCGUCGGUGCCGCAGCUAACGCAUUAAGUUCCCCGCCUGGGAGUACGGCCGCAAGGCUAAACUC
Molecule: ribosomal RNA, 828 nt
Filed under: Streptomyces mirabilis
Lineage: Bacteria; Bacillati; Actinomycetota; Actinomycetes; Kitasatosporales; Streptomycetaceae
Description: bacterial SSU rRNA
Rfam family: Bacterial small subunit ribosomal RNA
Source: RNAcentral